Molecule: ribosomal RNA, 413 nt
Filed under: uncultured Actinomycetes bacterium
Lineage: Bacteria; Bacillati; Actinomycetota; Actinomycetes
Description: bacterial SSU rRNA
Rfam family: Bacterial small subunit ribosomal RNA
Source: RNAcentral
GAGUUUAAUCUUGGCUCAGGACGAACGCUGGCGGCGUGCUUAACACAUGCAAGUCGAGCGGUAAGGCCCCUUCGGGGGUACACGAGCGGCGAACGGGUGAGUAACACGUGAGCAACCUACCCUCAACUUUGGGAUAAGCCUCGGAAACGGGGUCUAAUACCGGAUAAUACUACGGGCCUCAUGGUUUGUGGUUGAAAGUUCUGGCGGUUGGGGAUGGGCUCGCGGCCUAUCAGCUUGUUGGUGGGGUAGUGGCCUACCAAGGCGUCGACGGGUAGCCGGCCUGAGAGGGCGACCGGCCACACUGGGACUGAGACACGGCCCAGACUCCUACGGGAGGCAGCAGUGGGGAAUAUUGCGCAAUGGACGAAAGUCUGACGCAGCAACGCCGCGUGAGGGAUGACGGCCUCGGUUGU